Nicotiana attenuata is the source of this 615-nucleotide long non-coding RNA. RefSeq lists it as uncharacterized. The transcript is spliced from 3 exons. The record is from RefSeq and is a predicted model, not a curated record. NCBI's taxonomy places the organism in Eukaryota, Viridiplantae, Streptophyta, Magnoliopsida, Solanales, Solanaceae.
GUCCCUAUUCCGGUUCUAUUCCAACGAAACCAACUCGUCCCACAGCGACCAAAGGUAAAAUCAUUUGCAGUUCAUAUAGCGAAAGCAGAAGAAGGGAGUUCGUUCCUUCGGGGACAUCCGAUAAAAUUGGAACGAAACAGAGGGAUGACACGCACAAAUCGAGAAAUGGUCUAAAUUUUUUUUUUUCAACUCGCCAUUGUUGAUCUCCAUAGCUUCUUUCUGCGACCUAGGUUUUUGUUGCAACCUUCAAUCUGAGAGGCAAGCCAUGAAAAUGAUAUAUGGAGCCAUUGCUCGCUGGGGAACUAAAAUCUUCUCAACUUGGACAUAAAUCCUUCUAACUAUCUAAACUUCUAUUGUCUGCGUAACCAAGAAGAAUUACACGGGGAACCAAUGCCAUGCUUUCUUAAUGGUGAUUUGCAAGGAUCAGGUUCUUCAAAUUGAGAAUUGAAGUGGACCAAGGAUAAGGUGGUGUUUGAAGACAGAGGAGAAGACAUUUUAUGUACUUCUGAGUCAUAUUUGUAUACAGUGAAGGGUAUCAUGAUGUAUUCAAUACUUUAUAAUGUAUAGACAUUUUAUUAGCAAUGAAAAGUUAUGAUACAGUUCUAUUUGGAAAAU